UAUGGAUAACAGGUUGAAAUUCCUGUACUAUCCUGUAACAGAACUGUGGGGACACAGGCAGAGAGCGUGAGCCGGGAAUGGAAAGACCGGUACAAGCGAGGUAGGAGAAGAGUUGGCAAAUCCGCUCUUUAAUCUGAAGACGUGAUGUGGACUGAAAAUAAGUAGGGAAGCACGUGAGCUGACUGUCAAGAAAAGCCGCUAUUGUUUGCAGGAUACCCGUACCGUAAACCGACACAGGUGGAUGAGGAGAGAAUCCUAAGGCCGACGGGAGAAGCAUUGUUAAGGAACUCGGCAAAAUGACUCCGUAACUUCGGGAGAAGGAGUGCCAGUAAGAUGGCCGCAGAGAAUUGGCCCAAGCAACUGUUUAGCGAAAACACAGGUCUAUGCAAAACCGAAAGGUGAGGUAUAUGGGCUGACGCCUGCCCGGUGCUGGAAGGUUAAGGGGAGAGGUUAGCGCAAGCGAAGCUUUGAACUUAAGCCCCAGUAAACGGCGGCCGUAACUAUAACGGUCCUAAGGUAGCGAAAUUCCUUGUCGGGUAAGUUCCGACCCGCACGAAAGGCGUAAUGAUUUGGGCACUGUCUCAACAAUGCACCCGGUGAAAUUGAAAUACCAGUGAAGAUGCUGGUUACCUGCGCCAGGACGGAAAGACCCCAUGGAGCUUUACUCCAGCUUGAUACUGGGAUUCGGUAUUGCAUGUACAGGAUAGGUGGGAGGCUAGGAAAUGGUAACGCCAGUUGCCAUGGAGCCAAUGUUGGGAUACCACCCUUGCAGUACUGGGUUUCUAACCAGCAGCCGUGAUCCGGCUGGGGGACAAUGUCAGGUGGGGAGUUUGACUGGGGCGGUCGCCUCCGAAAGGGUAUCGGAGGCGCUCAAAGGUUCCCUCAGAAUGGUUGGAAACCAUUCGAAGAGUGCAAAGGCAGAAGGGAGCUUGACUGCGACACCGACGGGUGGAGCAGGUACGAAAGUAGGACUUAGUGAUCCGGUGGUAUAAAGUGGGAUUGCCAUCGCUCAACGGAUAAAAGCUACCCUGGGAUAACAUGCUUAUCACUCCCAAGAGUUCACAUCGACGGAGUGGUUUGGCACCUCGAUGUCGGCUCAUCGCAUCCUGGGGCUGAAGUAGGUCCCAAGGGUUGGGCUGUUCGCCCAUUAAAGCGGUACGCGAGCUGGGUUCAGAACGUCGUGAGACAGUUCGGUCCCUAUCCGGCGUGGGCGUAAGAUAUUUGAGAGGAGCUGUCCUUAGUACGAGAGGACCGGGAUGGACUGGCCGCUGGUGUAUCUGUUGUCUUACCAAAGGCAUAGCAGAGUAGCCAAGCCGGGAAGGGAUAAACGCUGAAGGCAUCUAAGCGUGAAGCCCCCCUCAAGAUGAGAUAUCUCAUAACGUCAAGUUAGUAAGACCCCUUGAAGACGACGAGGUAGAUAGGGCAGAGGUGGAAGUGUGGUAACACAUGGAGCUGACUGUUACUAAUAGGUCGAGGGCAUAACC
Molecule: ribosomal RNA, 1484 nt
Filed under: metagenome
Description: bacterial LSU rRNA
Rfam family: Bacterial large subunit ribosomal RNA
Source: RNAcentral